Molecule: long non-coding RNA, 1527 nt
Filed under: Ananas comosus (pineapple)
Lineage: Eukaryota; Viridiplantae; Streptophyta; Magnoliopsida; Poales; Bromeliaceae
Description: long non-coding RNA (ACOM_LNC009608)
Source: RNAcentral
AAAAACUAGAGUAACUUUGAUUAAAAAUGAUGGAUCUUAAAAGGAGAAAUAAGAAUUAGGAGUGAAACUAGUUAGGAUAAACUCGAAUCGAAUCUGACACUGGAUUUGAUAGGAAAUGAAUAUAGAUGCCAAAAUUUAGCAUCCGACGUAUAUUCAUAUUCAAUAAAAUUUUAAAAAAAUAUGGAUGUGAAUAUGAUUUUCCUAAGAGAUAAUAGUGAUGAUAAUUUAUGUUGUACGGGAAUAAAGUAAUUUCUAUUAUAUUCUUUGUUUAUUUUAUUAUAGAUUUCAUGUUAAAAUUAUCCUUAUAUUUAUUAAACUAUUAAGUUUUAUUGAAUAAAAUAUAAGUUUGGAUGCGAAUGUGACUCAUAUCUGAGUGUUUUAUUUGUGCUAAUUUUAGUUUAUAUUUAUAUAUAUGAAUAUUAUUAUAUAUUAUUAUCCGAAUAAAAUCUGACUGAUGUCUAAAUUUGACUUCGUUUUAAGCGAAGAUAGUAAUAAAAAUUUAGCAUCUGACAUAUAUCCGUAUCUGAAUUCACAUUCGAAAAACAAAAUAUCAAUGUGGAUAUGAUUUUGUCAAAAAUUUGAUCGUAUUCAAUCGUUUUCCUUCCUAGACAGAAUAAAUUUGAGGGCCUUACUAAGAAAUAGCCAAAAGUGAAGGGAUCCCUACAUUUUUUUUCCUUUUAUUGUUAUUUAUUUAUUUUUAUUUAUAUUAAUAGUGGGGGACCAUAAGGAUAAACUUGGAUUUUUUUUGCAUUUAGCCCCCUAGUAAAUUUUUAUUUUAAAAAUAGCCCUAUCAAAAUUUAAUUUGCAAAAAUGGCCCUGCACCUGCCACGCAGGCGCCACGUCAGCGCCACGCGGGCUGGGCAUGGGCCAGUGUAUUAAGUUAAACACGGUGAACCAUUCACCGUGUUCAAACACGGUGAAUGGUUCACCGUGUUUAGUACGUAUUUUUUCCUAGAAGAAUAGGGAGUUAGGGAUGUUAAUGGGGUAUGGAUAUCCAAAAUAUUAUUCGAACCUAAACCCGAAUAAAUUAUAUAUAUACAUAAUUUAUUUUUAUUUAUUUAUACAAUAUAUAAAAUAUCUAAUAAUUUUUAUUUCUUAGAUCUUCAUCAAUCCAAUGGUAUAGAUUUUUAAAAUUAUUAGAUAUUUUAUACCGUUGGAUUGGAUGAAGAUCUAAGAAAUAAAAAUUAUUGGAUAUUUUAUAUAUUGUAUAAAUAUGUAAAAAUAAAUUAUGUAUAUAAAAUAAUUUAUUCGGGUUUAGGUUCGAAUAAUAUUUUGAAUAUCCAUACCCCAUUAACAUCCCUAACUCCCUAUUCCUCUACAAAAAAUACGUACUAAACACGGUGAAUCAUUCACCGUGUCUAAACACGGUGAAUGAUUCACCGUGUUUAACUUAACUACCGCCCCCAGCCCCGCCCGCGUGGCGCUGACGUGGCGCUUGCGUGGCAGGAGUAGGGCCAUUUUUACAAAUUAAAUUUUGAUAGGGCUACUUUUAAAAUAAAAAUUCUUUAGGGGGCUAAAUGCAAAAAA